This 73-nucleotide transfer RNA is filed under the name Camelus bactrianus (Bactrian camel). It matches the Rfam family "tRNA". Rfam says of the family: Transfer RNA (tRNA) molecules are approximately 80 nucleotides in length. Their secondary structure includes four short double-helical elements and three loops (D, anti-codon, and T loops). Lineage: Eukaryota; Metazoa; Chordata; Mammalia; Artiodactyla; Camelidae. The record is from Rfam by way of RNAcentral. RNAcentral also lists the same sequence under 2 other names.
GAGAGUAUAACUCAGUGGUAGAGCAUGUGCUUAGCAUGCAUGAGGUCCUGGGUUCAAUUUCCCAAUACCUCCG